GAUGAAUGCUGGCGGCAGGCUUAACACAUGCAAGUCGAACGGUAGCACAGAGAGCUUGCUCUCGGGUGACGAGUGGCGGACGGGUGAGUAAUGUCUGGGAAACUGCCCGAUGGAGGGGGAUAACUACUGGAAACGGUAGCUAAUACCGCAUAACGUCGCAAGACCAAAGUGGGGGACCUUCGGGCCUCACACCAUCGGAUGUGCCCAGAUGGGAUUAGCUAGUAGGUGGGGUAAUGGCUCACCUAGGCGACGAUCCCUAGCUGGUCUGAGAGGAUGACCAGCCACACUGGAACUGAGACACGGUCCAGACUCCUACGGGAGGCAGCAGUGGGGAAUAUUGCACAAUGGGCGCAAGCCUGAUGCAGCCAUGCCGCGCGUAUGAAGAAGGCCUUCGGGUUGUAAAGUACUUUCAGCGGGGAGGAAGGCGGUGAAGUUAAUAGCUUCACCGAUUGACGUUACCCGCAGAAGAAGCACCGGCUAACUCCGUGCCAGCCGCCACAGUAA
Molecule: ribosomal RNA, 504 nt
Filed under: uncultured bacterium
Lineage: Bacteria
Description: partial 16S ribosomal RNA
Rfam family: Bacterial small subunit ribosomal RNA
Source: RNAcentral